GGGGAUGUAGCUCAGUUGGUAGAGUGCUUGCCUAGCAUGCACAAGGCCCUGGGUUCAAUCCCCAGCACCACAA
Molecule: transfer RNA, 73 nt
Filed under: Marmota marmota marmota (Alpine marmot)
Lineage: Eukaryota; Metazoa; Chordata; Mammalia; Rodentia; Sciuridae
Also listed under: 4 other names
Rfam family: tRNA
About the family: Transfer RNA (tRNA) molecules are approximately 80 nucleotides in length. Their secondary structure includes four short double-helical elements and three loops (D, anti-codon, and T loops). Further hydrogen bonds mediate the characteristic L-shaped molecular structure. tRNAs have two regions of fundamental functional importance: the anti-codon, which is responsible for specific mRNA codon recognition, and the 3' end, to which the tRNAs corresponding amino acid is attached (by aminoacyl-tRNA synthetases). tRNAs cope with the degeneracy of the genetic code in two manners: having more than one tRNA (with a specific anti-codon) for a particular amino acid; and 'wobble' base-pairing, i.e. permitting non-standard base-pairing at the 3rd anti-codon position.
Source: Rfam by way of RNAcentral